CUGAUAUCUUUUGAGCAGAAAUAAUUCUGAAUGUCUCUCUUGUUUACCAUACAACUAAGUACAGGAAUGUGUGGUGGGUGGUACCGUAGUAACUUGGUUAAGGUGGAACUACAUUUCCCAGAAUCCCCUUCCGUCAAUGGUUCUAGGUCAGAGUUGGCCAAAAGAGGAAUUUACUUGAGAUCUGGAAGGAGGAACCAGAGAAGCAGUCAUUGCUCUCUGAAGUCAUUACCCUUUUCUUGGUUAGACAGAAGGGGAUGCUGGCAGGUUCCACACUUCCUCACACUGCUCUGGUCUCUUUUUCCCAAAUAUUGGACCUACUGACCAAAAACAGCCCCAGGCCCAUCACCAGAGGCUUGGCAGGAGACAGAGAGGUGGGAUUCAAGAAAUAUUUAACGAAUCAAAUGACUAAAUGUAUUUAGUAAGCUACACUAAUGCAGCAAAUGAUUUAAGCUCCUCUUCACACAAUAGCUUCAAUAUAUUGAUAAUGUUCUAUUAAUUUAUAGAAUUAUAUAACGUUUUGCAUGUAUCAAAUGUCACAUAACUUUUUUUUAAGAAUAAAGCACAUCAGAGGGCAGUGAUAUUAAAUAUUUAGAGAGAUUUAAAUAAGUUGAGACCACAAUGAGCAAAAAUAAGUUAAGCAAUCCAAACCCACCACUUCUUUAUUUACCUAAUUAUUUAGCAGUUUCAUUCACUUUGCCUGAAAACUCUCAAACGUUUAUAGCUACUAUCUUUAACAGCCAAACUCCUGAGUCUGAGAGCCAACCAGCAAGAUGGCUCCUUAGUCUGUUUUAUUUUCAGUAUUUACUGAUAAACUAGAUCCAGUGCUGGAAUUUAUGACAAGUGUACAUAACAGGCUCAAUAAUUCUGUAUUAAAAGAACUGAUGGCUUACCUUCAUAUUGGUAUCAGUCCAGUUCAACUAUCUCAACAUCUGAGUUACCACAAAGCAAUACAAACAAAACAUCAAAGGAAAUAAGAAAUAUAAUUGCUAGUCCAUUUCUGUAGAUAAAAAAAUAAGAUUGUGUUCUGCCCUGUUAUUUCUUGUGUUUGCCUCUAGCAGCACCAUAAGUUUGGGUGACUGCCUCCCUACAGAUAACUUCCCAAGCUGUAUGUCUAACACUGAACUUCCAGCAAAGUCAUAAGGCCCUGGGCCCAGAGGGCAGCAUUCUAUUCAUCUGUGUGUUGCCAAUGUUUACAGAGGACUUCCUAUAUUCUGAAUCCCUUAUUAUUAGAAACAUUCCCUAUUUAGGCCUCCAGCACUCCUAUGAGAUAAGCACUAUUAUACAGAUUCGGUGUUGACAUGUACUAGAUGUAUAACCUUGGCAGGCAUAGAGGGAUUGAGCAGCUUUUUCCAAGAUCAUAUAUCCGGUACCUGUUGACACCAGGAUCUGAACCCGGGCCGGGUCUGACGCAGAACCCAAGCUCCCCACCCUCAUUCGACAGUCCACCCUCCUCUCCCAUUAGAUGAGGCAACUUGAGAAUAAUGUCUGCCUCUGACUCAUCUUAGUAUCCGCCCAAAGCACGCAAUGCAUUCGUAUUUGCUGUGUGUCAACAGUUACCUGUUGACUAAGUACAUUCUCAGUGAGAAAGUUAGCUGAGGUAUUGCCUGAUAUCAAAGAGUAAUUCCUGCUCCAGUUUAAACUAGAGAACACCCUACUAAGUUUCAUAAAACUUAACAGUGCAAACAAUGAAGACAAAAACUAGAAGAUAAUUAAACUAGAGUCAUGUGACCUCUAUACCUCAAACGUAUCCCAGUCUUGAGGAUUCAUGUAAUAUUAUCAUAUCUCACAUACUACAUCCUAUUGACUCUACUGGGCUUCCUUCCCAAAGGAAUGAAUAAACUGCAAGUUUCUGCCCCUCCCGGACCUAUUGCAGUUAAGAGGGCCAAAUCCAGCCAAGUUCUCAGAGAUGACAACUACAGAGUAACUUUAAGGAUCAAAUGCCAUAAAAAAAGGUACUUUUCUGCCAGCCCCCACAGAGAUUUAACACUUGUGUUUUGUCACCCUACCUGAAUUAAAUGCAUUAGGAUUUUGUUCUGCGAAGAUAUCGUAUCCUCUCUCUCAUCUAACAAGAAUCCCCUACUUGGUACUCCUUAGUGAAUAACAGACCGACAGUUUGUUCAAAUACACCAAAACAUUGACCACCAUGCACCUUGGGAAUACAAAUGCUAUCCAUUUGGACUAAGUUUUCAGCACAAUAGUCUCACAGUAUGCAAUUUCAAUGGUAGGUCUAGAACAAUAAAAGGACUCUCCUAGACCUUCUGUGAUUUUAUUUUCCCUCGGGGCUGGCAAUUUCUUGGAGUUAGUCCUUUCUGGUAGGCCACUCUACCUCCACUCCCAGAGGCAGGCUGAGCCCUUCUCUGAAAUCCUGAGGUAAAGAGCGCCCCAGAUCUAGCCCCAGAUUUUCUCUCUGGGCCCCAGAUCUAGCCCUUUCAGGUCAAAAGCUUCCUCUUCAGCCACUGGACCCACCACCUAACCACUUGGAUGUGUCCCUUCCAGAGACUUCUUUCUCCUUGAGCAUAUUCUCAGCCCCACUCCUGUUCUGUUUACCAUGGGUUUCCAUUCCUUGCUAAAAGUCAGCUUUGUCUACAACUCUCCCCAGCAUCACUCCUUCACCUGACUCAGCAAGAGCCACACAAAUUCACACUUUAAAAAUACCUUUGCUGUAUCUUGAGCAUUGUUCCUUCCUUUAUAUCUGCGUGAAGCAACAAGGCAUAAACAUUUGAUUACAGCUUAAGUCCCUGACUCUCGGUGGGUAAAUGGCCCCGUUGUCCAUGACUUUUACGAUGAGGCAUUUUCCACCACAGACGUUAAUUAGUUCCUUUUAAAUUGAUGUCGUCAGAACAAGAGAAGAGCCUUGAAAUAAAGCAGAAGAGAUUCCUUGCUUCCUCAUCACCUGGAUACUAAAACACUUAAAUGUACCACUAAUGGGGGUUGUAAAAUUUCUAAUUCUGUGAAUCUUCAAGAAAAAAUAAAAUGGAGAGCAAACAAUUAUCCAUCCUCGAUGACUUGGUAUUAUUUGCCUGAAGGUAGAAUUUAGGAUGUUUUACAGUCCCUCUGAUUUAUUCUUUGUUUUCAUCACUACUUUAGAAGGUAAUCUGAUCCACUCUAAUGGUCCCAGAGAACCACUUAUCCUUUUCCAAGCCUUCACUCUAAGACUGAACCUGGCUUUUGGAACUCUUCUUUCUUUAAACUCAUUCCAAACACGGGCUUCAGAGAAUGACUUUCUACAGUCAACACAAACCUCAGACUUUGGGUCUCUCUAAUGACUGGUCACAGAAUGCAGAUGAAACAAAAACUCAGUUGUGCUCUCAAAGCUUCCAAAGCAAUACAGUGAACAAAGAUGCAGAGAUAAAGCACAGACUUCGAACAACAACAAAGCCCACUGGCUUACUUCCACGAAAGUCCCGAGUUCUAGAAAUAACCGUUCUGUAAAUGACCUUUUUUACUUAUCAGGAUCAUUCACUCAAACAAUCUUGAUAUGUCAUUGUCAUUGCUUAGAUCUUUAAAGAAAAAUGUCUUUCACUGGCACAAGAUAGAAGAUUCAAGAAUUCAGAGAAACAUAUAUAGGUUAAAAAAAGAAAUCUUCAGCAAGGCAGAUAUCAGACUGUGGCUUUUGGCUUCAAAUACUGUCAUCAGAUUACUCAAAUAAUAUUUUGUUUUGUGAGAUCCUUAAAAAUGGUUAUAUAUUGAGGCUGGCCCAGUGGUAUAGUGGUUAAGUUCUUGCACUCUGCUUCGACAGUCCAGGGUUUGCUGGUUCAGAUCCCGGGCACGGACCUAGCACCACUCGUCAGGCCACACCGUGGUAACAUCCCACGAAAAUAGAGGAAGACUGGCACAGAUGUUGACUCAGCAACAAUUUUUCUCAAGCAAAAAGAGGAAGAUUGGCAACAGUUGUUAGCUCAGGGCUAAAUCCUCCUCACACACACAAAAAAAGGCUAUAUAUUUUUCAUUUAAAAAAAUUUUCUCCUUUCCUAUUUGCAAUUAGGAUUGAAACUAUAAAUUCAGUCAAAAGCAGUAUUUUCCUUCAGAAAUCUACACUAUAAAUCUAUCAAGUUAGUUCUGUUAACUACCUCAGACAAAUUCUAAGUUGGGCAAACAUACUAGACAACAUUAAAUAACUAUGUGAAUUCAAUUAAUUACACAAGUAAUUCUCCACUUUUGGCAAGUGUUUGAUUCUGUUCUUAAAAGCUUAAAUACAAAAUGGAAACAGUUUAAUGUCAUGAAGAGCCUAGGACAUUUGCUGAACACCAGGAAAACCUCAAAAAGCACAUCGUGGGGUCAGCCUGGUGGCGUAAUAGUUAAGUUCCACAUGCUCUGCUUUGGUGGCCCAGGUUCAUGGGUUUGGAUCCUAGACAUGGACCUACACCACUCAUCAAGCCAUGCUGUGGCAGCAUCCCACAUACAACAUACAGGAAGACCAGCAGAGAUGUUACCGCAGGGCCAAACUUUCUCAAACAAAAAGAGGAGGAUUGGCAAUAGAUGUUAGCUCAGGGCCAAUCUUCCUCACCAAAAAAAAAAAAAAAAGAAAAAGAAAAAGCACAUCUUCAUUAAGUUCAAAGCAAAGAGAUUUGACUCCUUUAGAACAAUACAAUUAGAGCUGUGACUACAUAGAGAACUGAAUUGUUGUAAAAAGAAGAUAGAAUCUGGUAUUGGGAUGACCAGGAUUUGAAUCCUGGCUCAGUUACCUUGCAGAAGCUACGCAGGCUCUCUGAAAUUCAGUUUCUUCCACUGUAGAAUGAGAAUAACAGUAAUAUCCACCUCACAGAGUUGUUGUGAAGACGGAAUGAGUCAAUGAAGCAUUUGCAACCAAGGCAACACCUGAUACAUGGUAAACGUGUGUAAUAAAUGUGAAUUCCUUUCUUCUACCUCCCUUCCCUGUAUAAAACUCAUGUGGCAGGUUUUGAGAAUUUAUCAUGGUCAUGGAAUAGUUAUGUUCUUGAAGAAAACAGUGUGUUCAGAUCAUAUUUUAAGAACACUGAAGGAAAUUUUGACACAUGCUACAACAUGGAUGAAGCUUGAAGACACGAUGUUAAGCGAAAUAAGCCAGUCACAAAAGGACAAAUAUUGUGUGAUUCCUUUUAUAUCAGGUCCCUAGAGUAGUCAAAUUCAGAGAGAGAAAGUAGAACGGUGGUUGCCAGGGACUGGGGGGCGAGGAAAUGGGGAGUUGGUGUUUAACGGGGACACAUUUGGGGAAGAUGAAAAGGUUCUGGAGACGGAUGGGGUGACGGCUGCACAACAAUGUGAAUAUACUUAAUGCCAGAGAACUGUAUACUUAACAAUGGUUAAAAUGCUUAAGUUUUUGUUACGUAUAUUUUAUCACACACCAAAAGAAUACCGAAAAGUACUUGUUAUUUAAAAGAACCUUGUAAUAAACUGUUUUGAAAAGAGAAUUAUUCAGUAAAAUAAAUAAUUACGUUGUAGUUUACUUGUUCCAGCUUCCAGACUAAAGAGAGCAUGAUGGGAGAAAAACCAGGUAACUCCACGAUUUGGUAGAAUAACUUGCUUUCCCUUCAGCCAGGUCCUUGCUGCUGGGCAAUGCUGCACGACUCUUCCCCGGGCAGCUCCCUUUCUCACUUCCGACAAGGCGCCGUUCCAAGCACGCACAGACACCUUCAGACCAUCGCAGGAUACUUAUACUUACCUUAUACUAAAAUAAAGACCUCCCUUCUACCCUUUAUCUGUCAUCUACCUCCUAUUUUAGAUUGCUUUUUUAAAAAAAGGUAGUCUAUACUCAUUGUCCCUACUCGUUACCGCCCACUGCACUUAGUCAUUAAAAUGAAGUUUCUGACACCAGUAUUAUAAUUUUCCUCACUGAGGGCCUCUGACUUGGUCAACUCCAAUGGCCUCAUUUUACUUCUCAUCUCAACUGGACCUCUUAGCGGCAUCUGAUAUUGAUUACUUCCCUUUCUGAAUUGUUCUUCGAUGGUCUUUUCCUGAGUAUGCCCUUGAGAUGCUGGAGCAUCCUGGAGUCCUUUGCUUGGCCCUCCCUCAUUCUGCUCAGCUAGCUCUUCUUUGGGAUUCUCACCCAUCCACACACGUGUGACUCCACACUCUGUAUCUUUCUCUCCUAAAGUUCAGAGUCACAUUUCCAACUGUCUGCUAGUUAUCACCAUUUAGACGCCCCAUUCUCAAAUGUGCAAAACCAAAACCAAUGCUUCCUUUCUACACUCCCAUCUGAUCGUUAGAGGAUUAAAAAAUCUACAACCAUUUUCCAUUCUUCCAUCUCUCUCACAACUGCUAUAUGUAACUCCAGUCAGUAAGUCUCACACAUUCUACCUCCCCAAAUCAUCCUCCAUACUGUGUCUUCUCCUCCACCGUCUCCACGGCCAACGCCUUCACACAGGCCCUCCUCUCACUCACGUGCACGGCUGCAUGAGUCUCCUGACUAGUCUAUUCUCUUUAGUUUUUCCCCUUCAGUCCAAUUUUCACACUGCUGCCAGGCAUUUUUCUAAAUGUCAAUCGACACAACUCCUCUGAUUUUAAAACCUCCAGUGGCUCUCUGCAGCCGACAGGGCAGAGGCCAGCUAUUGGCAUUACACACACAGCUCCUUCCGACCUCAUUUCUCGCCACUUUCCCAUUCCCCAACUCCCAUGACCCUCAAGCUCCUUCUGGACUUCUCAAAAACUGAUCCUCAAACCUCUCCAGCUUGGUGCGUGCUCCUUGUUCCUCUCCACGUGGCACACAACUACACACUCUCAAAGACUCAAGGGCCAGUCUUCCCAGGCCUCCCCAGGCCGAAUUAAUCACAUGCUUUCGGAGCAGUUUGUACGUGAGGCCUCUGCUGCAACCUUAUCACACAGCAAGCACUUACUUGUUUCUUGCUCCCAAGCCAUCACUGAAACCUACUGGGUGGAGCACCUCAAGAUCAGGAAUUCUGCCUUACUCACUUCUCAGUCCACCCCAGAUUCUGUAAGGCUCACGUGGUCUCUCUCUCUAGUCAUGGAUUUCCCAACCAUCAAAGCUCAGUGACUUCACCGCCACACUGACAGACUGUGGCGAGUGUGUCUACUACAGGGCGUGAGAAAAUCAUUCAUUUGUUCAUUCAACUAACAUUUAUUAGAUGUGGGGAUACAUAGGCGAGUAAGACUUGAGCCUGCCCACUAAGGAGUUCACAGUCUAGUAGGGAAAACAAACACAUAAACAGACGUUUAUAUAGCAUGUGCUAGAAGCCCCGUGACAGAGUGAUUCCCAGGACAUUCUGGAGACAGAGGGGCUUGGAGGAGGACAAUUAACCCAGCAAGUGUGGGGUAGUGGGAAAAGAAGAGGACACUGGAGGGAGCUUCUAGGACCGAUGGCGCCCCAAGUGAGUCUCAGAGAACAUAAGGGAAAGAGGAGGAGACAGGACAGGCGGGAGACAGGACAAGGGACAUAUCUCAGUUAACCACAUUAACUUUUUGUCAGCUGCUCAAGUACAAGAAGUCAAAGUCAUGAUAUAAUCUUUGCAAAUAUAUCCACAUCUCUAAUUUAAAAACAAAUAACACAAUCUGCCAUCUCUGGAGACACCCCUUCUCACUCCCUUUUUUCUCGCCCUCUCUCUCACACCCACCAACAGGAAAAUCUUUAUACGUGUAAUGAAAACACACGUCGCAUCCUUCAUGGCAGUCCUGACACGUUUAGAGCCCGUGCUUCUCUUCUGAAGCCUCCGGCAGUGGUCACUUACUAUCUGUGCUAUUCCCCCAACGUCUCUCUGACCUCGCUCUCUCCCUCCUGCUACUCCUUCUCAGGGCCCUGACCCGCCAUCUCCUGCCGUGCUCACCAUCUACGCACACAGCAGAACUAGGCUACGCUGCCCUAUUUAUUCAAGAUGAUAUUACCGAGGACAAUCAUAUCCUUCUGUGCUAAGAAGAACUUAUUAACAAUAGUUCUUUUUUCACAGCAUAAAGUCUACCCUUUCAUUUAGAACCAGUUAUUACUGCUAUUCUGGUUUAGUUUCUCUAAAUCUUUAGUAGACGUGGCUUUUUCUUAAAAGAAAAAUAACCUUAUAAGAAAAAAAAUUAAAAUAAUAAUCAUCACACCACGUAGCAGAGAAAAUUCAGAUUUAAUUUCUGGCUUCAUCAGUGUUUUACUACACAAAUCCUUUGUCCAUUUAAUCUCAAAUCCUUAUAGAAAUCUUUAAAUAUGCCAUGUCACAUAGAGUAAUUUUUUAAAUAUUUUCAUGUUUUUGCUCCAUAUUAUUGACAAUUAUUUUACUGAUUUGAAAACUGAUUAAAUAUAUGUACAGACACAUAACAUAAAAGUAUAGAAAGUCAUCUUUCAACUUAGUAUUUACAUUUGUCAGUUACUACUUUCAUCAUAUUUACUAUGAAUUAAUUGCAUCCUGGCAAGUUCAAUUAAAAAACCACAUGAAUAACAGAACCGUGCUUGACGCUGGGAGGUAGGGGAGACAAAAAAGAGGUGAUCCCUAGUCUGGGAUCUGAUCUUGAAGCCACACUAACCAGGGGGAAGGGAAGGAACAGGAAAGGAAGGGAGGAGGGGAAGAGCACAGAUAAGUAUAGUUAAAAGCAAUAUUCGAAGUAAAAAAAUUAUACAGUAAGUUGAUUUCACUUACAGUGAAAAGAUUUCCUGAAAACAAGUGAGGUAAAAUCCCAUUUCAUCCCUCAGUCCAAGAACUGAGUAGAAGUACCAUUCCAGGGAGGCUUGGUGGUGCUAAAAGGAGGCAAGAAGGAUGUAAGAUCUCAAAACCUAAGUGAUGAAAGACAUGCCAGCCACUCAUCCUCCCACCUCCAGCACUUUUUAAAAAGUUAAUCAUCGAAUUAAACGUUAUAAUCCAAUUUCCAAAAUUGUUCUCCCUCACUUAAACUGCUGUCACCUCUAAUAAUCUUACAGGCAGAUGCAUUCAUUUCGAACAUCGUUCUCUUCAGAUUCUGCAACAUCUGAAGCCCUGGAUCACGCCACUUUGUUCGUCCCUGCCAGAACACUGCUGGCCCUUCCUUCUCCCUAAUGCUACAGAUCUAAUGCCUCCUCCCGAUCAGACUCCAAACCACAGCUUCCCUCAAGGCCUUGGUCCUCAGUGCUCAGGCCUCUCCGCGUGCUCACCCCUUGAAGAAUCGAACCAUCACUGCCGGGAUGACAAAUCUGAAACUUCCCUCCUUGGCUAGACAUUUCAACAUGAGCCCUGGGUCUAUAGUUUCAGCUGCUUAGGAAUUUCCCCUUGAAUGUCUAAAACCAAGCAAGCAGCCAUAUCCCCUCAAAACUGGUUUCUUUUUCCAGUUAUUACAUGCCUGAUCGUUCUGCAGACCUGAAAACCUCAAGACCAUUUUUUCACUCUCCUCUUCCUCUCUCUCCUCACUCUGGGGCAUCCCUCACCUGGGUCCUACCUCUCCUCUCUCAUCUCCCCUGACUAAAUCCAUCAUUACUGAACGUGACUGCUGGAUGGCUUUACCAGGGUCUACCUCCUAUUUCUCCCUCCCUUCACUUCUCCUUUAAUAUCAGAUUAACCCCUCGCUAGACACUGUGGUAUCUUCCCCCUUCACAGUCACAUCAUCACCCCUCUUCUUCAGAACACAAAUAGUGGGCUGGCUUUAAAAUACGUUCCCAGAUUCUCUGACACUCCCCUCCUUACAAGCUGCGCUCUAAUCCGUUCCCCUUGAACGCGAGCUGAACUUACUGGCUUGCUUCUGCUUCUAAGGAAGAAAAGUGGCAAGAGAGCUCCCUGGUCCCGAAUCCCCGACCUGCAGAAACGGUUAGAGAUAAUCAGUGCUGACGGGUGUUCUGAGCCACUACAUUUGGGGGUAAUCUGUUAGAGGGCAACAGAUCACUCCUUCAGAAGGGCUCUCUGCUGCCGAAUGGAUCAAAUGCAAAUUCUGGCCACUCAGGGUCUUCCACUGACUGCCCUUCCUGUGUCUCUGAACAGCAACACACUGCUUCAGUCUACGGCCAGUCACCGUACUGACUGCUGCGGAAAAAAUUCCACCUCGACUUUAGCCUCGGCUAUUUUCACACGAAAGGUCCUCCUUGGUUCUCUCUACUCGACUAAAUUCAACACUUUGUUAGGCUCAAUGCAAAGUCUCCUUGUCAAAGAAAUUUUUCUAAUGCAUACAAAUAAACAUCUAUCUCAUUUCCAAAACUGUAUUUAAGUUAUUUAAGGUAGACAUCAUGACUUUGCUAUCUUUAUAUUCCCCAUAUUAACGGACACACAGAUAUAACUUUUUGUUUAGAAUUAUGUUUUAUGAGGCUUCUUUCAAAAAAAGUUUUGAAUGUCUUUUAACGAUGGACAUAUACAAUAAAGGGUACUUGGCUUUAAAAGGUGUCAGAUAGUUUAAGAGUAUAAUUUGGUAGAAUAUAUUACCAAAAUAAUCUACAGGACCUAUGAAUAAGCAAUUCCAUUUCCAGGAGUCUACUUUACAGGUAUAAUAACACAAGUCAGCAAAACACAGGUACAAGGACAUUCUCCACAGCAUUGUUUAUAACAGGGAAAAGCCACAAGCAACAUAAAAUACAUCAAAGAGGAAAAACUAAAUUAAAUUAGGGUAUAACAGACUACCAUGGAUCCAUUUUAAAAAAUUGAGUAAGUCUCCAUGUACUGACAUGUUCAGACCUCCAUGAUAUAAGCGGAAAAAAGAUAGUUUUAUGAAGAAAAUAAAAUAUUUAAGAAUAAAUAUAACAAAUGUGAAAAACCCAUCUGAGGAAAACAUAAAACAUUCCUAAAAAGGCACAAAUGAAGACUUUAACAAAUAGAAGGACAUUUCUUAUUUUGGGAUAGAACAAGUCAACAUCAUAAAAAUGUCAGUUUGAUAUAAAUUAAUUUAUAAAUUUAAUGCAAUCCCCAUAAAUAUACCAACAAUUCUUUUUAAAGAAGCUAGACAACUGAUACAGAACUUCAUACUAAAAAUAUACACGCAAGAACAGCCAGGAAAACACUGAAACGCUGGAGAGGAGGACUAGUCCUCCGAGACAUUAAAUUACACGAGAAAGCCAUAUAAUGAAAAGUGUGCUACUGUCCAUGAACAGACAGACGAACCAGUGGAGUAAUACAGAAAGUCCAAAAACAGACCCAAGUACAGACAGAACUUCAGGACUAUAGGUAACAAAGGGGGCACCCAAAAAAAAUCACUGGGGCAAAAAGUGACUUUUUAAUAAAUGGCUAAAGCAAUUGAUUAGUCAUUUGGAAGACAAUAAAAUUAGAUCCGUACUUCAUACCGUAGACAAGAAGAGACUCCAAAUGAAUCAGGGAUCUAAAUGUAAAACCCUGAAGCCAUACAAGUGUUAGACAGGAAAAAACGGCAAAUUCUUCUCUAACCUGGAUAUAAGGAAACGCGUGCUAACCAUGACUCAGAAUCAGGAAAAAUAAAAGAAAAGAUGAUCAUUCGAUUACAUAAAAUUUGUGAACAAAAUUUUUUUGCAAGGCAAAAGAAAAAACCACCAUCAUUAACCAAAGACAAUAGAUAAAACGGGAGGAAAUAUCUGCAUCGUACCACAGAUAAAGGGCUUAUAUCUAUAAUACAUAAAAAACUCUUAAAAUUGAGUAAGUAAAGACUAGUAACUUGACAGAAAAAUGGCCAAAGGACACACACACAUACACAUACACACACAUAUACAUAUAUAAAUGCAUAUACCCCUUAAAGAAAAAAUGUUCAAUUUCACUCAUAAGAGAAAUGCAAACUAAAACUACACUGAAAUGCUGUUUCUCACCUAUCAGAUUGGCAAAAAUUAAACUGUAUAAAAAGGCACUCUUGGCCAGGCUAUGGAGAAAAGGCAUUCUCACACAGAGCUCCUUGGAGAAAUCGCCACUUCCAGGGCUGAGGCAGAGAAAGGACACGAGGGGAGGGCCAUUCUAUGCCAGAAGGUAAGGAUGUGUCAAAGAAUAAUGGGGAUGUGUCAAAAGGUAACAGGAGUCAGCUCAAAGGGGCUCCCACUGGCCGAAUCUAGGACAAUCUGAGCAUCAAAAUAAGUAAGGAUAAUGAAAUAAGAAUAAAAUAAGAACCCACGAGUCUACACUGAGGUAAAUAAAUAAAUGAGACAGAACAGAAUGCUCUUUGUGGAAGAAAGUCAACAAAUAAACGAAGAGGGAAUGAUGGAAAUUUAAAUCACCAUCCUAAGAAUAACUGCUUCAGGCAAGAAUCAUCCAUGGAUUCUAAAGCCUACGAGGAAAUGUUUGAGGAAUAACAGGGUAUUAACUAAAAACAUAACUCCAGACGACAGUUAUUGUUUGAAAAAGGAGAAAGAGUAACUUUACACCUGACAACCCUGGCAGACCAGGGCUUAACUGAAUGGUCAAAGUUAAACUCACCAGCAGUGGGACAGACAGACACCAUGUGCCCCUGAGUAUGAUGCACUGAGAAGAACGCAAUGCCCCUUGCACAGCAUUUCUGCCACAAGUGCAAAACCUGACUCCACCUGCGUGGAAACUUCAAACAAACCAAAGUGGAAGGACUUGCUAGUAGUAACUGGCUAGUACUCUUCACAAGUGUCACACAAAGAAAGACUGAGAAACUGUUCCAGAUAAAACGAGACCAUACGUAACGUAUGAUCCAGGGUUUUCUUACCAUAAAGACAUUUUGGGAAUAAUUGGCGGAAUCUGACUAAGGUCUGUACUUAGAUAGUAUUGUAUCAGUUAAUUUCCUGACUUUGAAAAAGAAUAAACUUAUUUAGAAAGGAAGGGAAAAAGUAGGUUCUGGCCAAGAAUGCACAGCCUGGAUUUAACAAUGAGAAAACAGCAGAUAAACAUAAAAUGAGGAACUUUCUAUUAUUCCAAAAAAAAAAAAAAGGACAGGUACUAUAUUCUUCAAAAAUGUCAAUCUGAUAAAAGACAAAGAAAAACUUUCUGUUUUUCAGAUUAAAGAAUAUUAAACAGAUAUGUCAACUAAAUGUGAUCUAUGACCCUAUACUGGAUCUCAUACCACAGGGAAAAAAAUAUGAUAAAAAUCUUGAUUAAGUCAACUGACAAAACCAUCAUAUGAAUAGCAGAUUAGAUUAAAACAUUUUAACAAUAUAAAUUUAUGAAACAGUAACUAUUACUGUAAGCCCAAAUAUUAUCCAAAUAGAGAAAACCCCUAUUCUUAGGAAAUACACACUGAAAUAACUAGAGGUAAAGGGCCAUGAGAUAUGUAACAUCCUCAAAUGAUUCAGAAAAAGGAAUACGUAUACACACAUAUACAUACAAAAAUACAGAAUAGGAAAAUAUGCACAAAUGAUAAAGUAAAUGGGGGAAAAUGUUAACAACAGGUGAAUCUAAGUAAAAAUAGAUGUUCUUUGCAUUAUCUUUGGGUUUUUUGCAACCUUUUUAAUGGUCCGUCCUCUAAAUGAAAUGAUUCUGAAUUAUCAUAAAAUAGAUUAAGAUCAGCAAUCUUCAAAAAGAAACUACCUUACGAGUUAGUGUUUAAAUAUUUUAACAAUAACUGCAUUUUCUAAGUGUUCAUUUGAGAGAGAAAGUGUCUCAAAACGACCAAGCAAUAGCCUAAGGGAAACACAACUGGAAAGAAGCUGAAAUGUGCACAAGAAAUUCUAUCACAUGUGGAUAUGACCACAAGAGCCUGGACAGUAGGCUACCUGGCUCUGAAUUUGGGUUCCAAGCCCUAAGCUGCGCUAAACCCUAUAACUUUAUAAAGUGGGAAUGAUAACAGUACCAUCUCCUAGCGCUCUUGUGGGAUUAAUGAAACAAGAGAAGAACAACAUCUUAGCAAAGUGCCCAACACAGAGUAAGCAUCCAUUAUUAUUGUUAUUACUAUUAUUUCUCCAUUGUAUUGGAACAUGUCUGACAUAGGAUAACGAGGCCUUUGGUAGCUCAUUACAAAGGAAACUCGAGAAGAAUUCCUCACGUUUAUCAGCACCACACUCUAGUAAAGAUGCUCUGAUUUUAGGCCCCAGUUUUUUAGACAGAAUAGCCCCUGGAGUAAAAAAAAACAAGUUCUCUAUCAAAUUCCCAUGAAUUGUUGGAAACAGCAAUUGAAAAUACCCAAUUCUUCCCCAUCUUAUUUCUAUGAUCACCAAGUAAAGUUAUGAUCCAAAUUUUAUCCUUUCCACAAACCCACAGCUGGCCACAGAACCUCUCCCACUGCAAAUUAACAUUCCAUCUUCUGCAACCUUGCUUAGUUUAGUUAGCUUCAUUCAAUCUCACAGUCCCCAUCGACUCUGAAUGAACUGAUAAAAUCAAAUUUCUUCACCUCCAAAGUCACACCCUAGACGCCUGAUCAAACAGUGCAGAGUUCUGCUCCUCUUGAGACCUGCCUAAGCAAUCAGCGGCUUCCCUCCUCGACAGGAAUUUAACUACCAAUGGUGAAAUGUCAACUUCCCAGAAGCAUCUAUCAAGGGCAGACCAUGUGUCUCCAUUAACCACAGGAUGCCUAAUGGACACUGGGAGCAAUUCAACAUUUGCUGAUUAAUAAACACUGGCCUUGAAGAAAAGGCACUAAGUAACAAUCAAUAACUCUGUGUUAAUCAUACAAAAACAGAACAUAAACUGUGGGUGAGUUAAUUCUGAAAUUAACCUUUCAGAUGACAUAUUUCAAAACACUGUGAAAUAGCAAUUUACUUACUUAUUUAUUUAUUUUUUUGGUGUGCAAGAUUGGCCCUGAGCUAACAUCUUUUGCCAAUCUUCCUCUUUUUGCUUGAGGAAAAGUGUCCCUCAGCUAACAUCAUCCCAAUCUUCCUCUGUUUUGUAUGUGGGAUGCUGCCACAGCAUGGCUUGAUGAGCUGUGUGUAGAUCUGUGCCUGGGAUCGGAUCCUGUGAACCCCAGCCUGCUGAAGCAGAGCACAUGAACUUAACCACUACACCACUGGGACGGCCCCCAAAAUAGCAAUUUUUAAGGAUAAAUACCAAGCAAGUUCACCAUAUAAUUAUACAAAAGCUAUCACACAAAAUAAUCAAAUUGCUAUCAAGUAGAAAUAAUUUACUAAUAACAGAUUUCUACUUUUUACUCAAUAAGGUCUUCUUUUAACCUUCGUAAUCUUCAGUAAAACCCAAGAAUCUGUCUUCACUAAAAUCAAGAAAAUAGCCAGACGUUAUUCCUAAAUGUUCAUUUUCUCUUAGUAGCUUUUUUAACUUACUUACUAUCUUUUCUCAUCGAAGGUAAUGUGAACAUACUCACUGUAAAUUCUAAGUCCCAUUUGCCGUCUUCUAUACUUUUCUACUGAAACAAACCACAAACUUCUCUUCUUGUUUCCCACUCUUCGAGGAUGAAAAAAUUCUCCUUUACUCCAAGAGGAAUAUACAAACUCCUACCACAUCUUUCCUUGUGUUUUCCUCUGUGAAAUCUUGGAUAUCAGGUCCCCAUCAGGUCCCUCCUCCCCACACUAGCAGCUCCCAAAAAACAGACCUACUUACCUCCUGGACAUCCUUUUCUAAUAAGUGGCACAAACAGCACAUUUCCCUUCAAAAUUUAAAAGACAAAAAUUGUCCUCCACCUUCUUUGUUUCAGGUCUCAUUCUCCAAAUUUCUUUAGAACAUAAAGUGUUAUCCUCCAUGCUGCAAAGCUAAUCAUCGUGUCUCCACAUAAGUCUGUGCUUGCUUAUUUACUAUUUAUUUUUGAGUAAGAAAUAUUUUCAAGUAGUUAAAAAGUAAAAAAGGGUAUUCAGGGAAACGUCUCCGUGUCCUCCAGCCACCUACUUCCUUCUCUUAGAGGCGUGAAAUGUUACAGUCCAUCUUCCGUCCUUCCAGAGAUAUUGUAUCUAUACAUCUACAUCUAUACACGCACAAAUGGUUAUAAAUUCUUUUUACACUCUUCUAUGCCUUGUUCUUAACCUAAGAUUGUAUCUCCAAGAAUAUAGCAUCACAGAAUAUAACGAGCUUCCUCUUUCUAUUUUCAAGGCUAUAUAUGACUUUAAAUAUACAUAAACCAGUUUCCAUGGCUCUAGUCUCUUGUUCCAUCCAUCCUUUCAAUAUACAUUGUGCCGGACAUGUCUGCCUGCUUUUAAAAAAGAAAAAGAAAAACACAUUCUAGCUCCAAACCUGAAUAUUUCCUAUAUAUUAGACCAUGUUAUUAUGUCAAUGCCAAACUUGUUGGGUGUUAUAAUUGUAUUGUGGUUACAUGGAAAAAAGUCCUCUUUGGCAGGAAUUUAGAGAUGAAGUGUGAUGAGCAUUUGCAACCUAUAUUCAAGUGGUUAAGCAAAAGAUACACACCACAUUUGAUUCCAAACCCAUACAGACAGAGCAAGCAGGCAGUACGGCAAAAUAUUAACAAGUGAUUAAUCUAGAAGGGUAUAUAAAUGUUCAAAGUGCUAUUUUUCUAAAGAUUUGAAGUUUUCAAAAUAAAAAGAUGGGGCAAAAGGGUUCUGGUACUUCCAUAGGGUCCCUUCCUUUGCUACCUUAAAACAUACAAUGGUCAUUUCCCAGCUCCCACGCCUAUGUCCUAACCUAGUCCAACCUCAUCCCUCACACCCUCUCCCGAAAGAAAGUUAAAAUGACUUCUUUAGUUAUUUUCAACUAUUGGUCCUUCAACCUUGAACUGCUCAAACAUCACGGCCCCUGGGGUCUUCCCCUACUGCUUCAGUCCUCCCUUCUCCCUCCUUGUCUAGACCAUUCUCUGGGGAAUUCAGACAUUUACUGGAUCUCAGCGUUUCGUGGCGUAUAUACUGGAAACCCAGCUAGAGACUAAAUACCCAGAGGAAGCAGCUCUCGAUGAGUCAUUUCGUAAUUCCCACAGCACUCAGGUCAAUGUGAUGCACAUGACAGGUAUUCAGUGUUUACUGAAAGAAAAGGGUUCUUUAAACAAAGAAGGGUAUGGGAACCACUGCUAGGCAGUGGAGAGGUCUCACAGCCCACCACCGCGGUCUGCUCGAGAAGCAACUCCCGUCUCUUCAGCUUCUCCUCCAACACUUGCAACUCAUCUCAUCCUGCCUAUCCCUCCAGACUGUCACAACCGUCUUCUCUCUGACACAAACAAUGACAGAUUAUCCCACUGAGAAGGGAAAAACCUGUUCCAUAAUCCCAAAUAAAGCAACUCGAGAAGUUAGAAUGGCCAAAUUCUCUUAAAUUUUAUUUACAUAACAUUACUCUCUAACACUGUAAUAAACUGUAAACAAUUUGAAAAAAGCACCUCUCAAUACCUGUCUACAGAGCAUUCCUGCACGGUACCCUUUCACCAGUUUGAAACUAGGGGAGACCCGCCUCUGAAGGUGUGCUUCGGUCAGUCAGAAUGACACUAACGACACUUGAACACAGAGACACUGUCAUGUUGAUGAAGACAACAACCUGUGUCUAACAACAAUACACUGUGGAAAAGCUGAUUCACUAACAAGGAAAAAGACAAACGAUAUCUACUGAAAAAUAGGAAUAAGAUCUACAUGAAAUAAGACACAAAUGGAAACUGCACAAACGUGCAAUUACAGUUCAACCCUCCAAAAACUGAGAUCCAGAGAGGUUCAACACCUCAUCCAAUCUCUCGUAACUAAUCAAAUCAAGCUAGGUUUAGAAUUCAUAUGCUCUUCUCAGGCUUUCUGCCCCCUUUACCUCUAAAUUUGAUAGAUUUAACUCUCGGUCCAUAAAAAGCAGAGUGCCUCAGGAAGCAGAAGUCCUAAUUGUGGUCUACGAUGCCAAUAACCAGGCGUGUAAAAUUAAGUAAAUUGUGUCAUCUGUAAAAUAAGAGGAUUGAAUUAUAAUGAACUCUGAAGUCCCUUAGAGCUAGAAUGUGCUCUGAUCCUUGACACUGGCAUAAGCAACAGGUGUGUACUUAUAAAUCUGACUCUGUCACAUUUCUCAGACCAAACUUUGUUACAGCUUAAACAGUUUAAAAACAUUAUUUUAACCCAAACAACAACUUUACCAAAAACUUCAUAAACAGAAAGAAUCCUGAAAUUCAUCAUCUACAUGAUUACUAUUACUUACAUUUUGGCAGAAUGCGUCUUAGCACAAAAUUUAAACUUCAGUCUGAAACCUACUUGAACAUCUAUUUAACUAUCUCAAAGGAUCUGGGAAGUUCUACAUUUCACUUCAUUUUCCAUUCAACAUGAAAUAUGCUAUAGAAACAUAUUAAACUCUUCAGAAAUAGUGCGCAGCAGCAUGGAAUUUUACUGACUACAGUAACGUUAACUAUCAGAAUAAAACUUGUCUUUAGAUCUGGUCUGCCAUUAGUCAAGCUAAAAAAAAAAUGCCUGUGCCAGCUGUAGGAUGGUACUAGGCUAUCUGAUCCAGGAACGAGAAAAAAGCAACAGGGAAAGGAAGAGGAAUAGAAGAAACAGGACCCAAAAAGAAAAAAAGGAAGGAAAUUGAGAGAGUAAAGCAAAUGGAAAGAAAAGAGAAUAAACAAGGAGGAGAGGAAUUGCCAACAAUGGCUUGUCAGCAUCCCAGGGCCAUGGUGUGCCAGCAUCCCAGGGCCAUGGUGUGCCAGCAUCCCACCAACCUCCCUCAGAGUCCAGACACCUUUAAGCAUUUUUGUUUGUUUGUUUUCAGACAGAAAGUUUGCCCAGAGAGGACAUGUUUACUUGUGCCUGGUCCUAGACUUCACGUCGAGGAUUAGGAAGAUGCCAAGGCAUGAAAAGUAACACAGAAACAGCUACAAUCCAAAAUACACUGGACUGUUGACCUGGGACGUCCAGGCCCUCACAUGUUCCCGAGGAGUCAUCUUUCCACAGUUUGGAUCUCAUAACUCCAAAAGAGUAUAAUGAUCCAAAAAAGAUGUUUUAGCAAAUAAUAUGCAUAUUUAUACAACUGCAAUUCAAUACUUUCAAAAACUGGUACUCUCCAAAAACUACAAAAUACAGUCCGAAGGAGGGCAUUUCCAGUGAGACCCUCGAGAUGCCACUGCAGCUGUCAAAAGUAAGCACUGCAUGAACUCUGGGCCUAACUUUGAAAAGCCAUUUGAUGUAAGUCAAAUAAUAGUAUCUGGUGAUAUCCUGAAUAUUCACUGGAAAUGAAUAGGAAAACUCCUUAACUUAUUUUCUAACAAAGAAGCCUGUGCUAGUGACUAGUCUUGACAUACACAGAGUUUUAGAACACCUCAAAAUGUAAAAUUUUUCAUUUUUACCCUCCCAUUCCCUACUCUUCUUUUUUAUUUCCUUCCUCUUAGAUGAGAUUUUUUUUUUCCCUCCAAAAUCUUACUAUUCUUUCCUCUUCAAAAAAUUAACUCACUUGAGAAUGUAUUGUCAAACCUCACUUCAACUCACCUCAAACCUUGAGUCCAUCGGACUCUUGGCAUCUGGGAGUCUGGUGUGAUCUGGAAUGCCUCCAGAGCACCACCUGUUAGAACGCCUCGGACUCUCCAUGAACCCCUCCCAAAGCCAGACCCUUUCCCCCAAAUAAACACGCCCUCUGGGUAAGAACAGUGUGCUGGCUCUCCAAGGGCUGCUUGAAGACGUCUCCUGGUCUCUCAUCGCUUUCCUUCCAGACUCCAGCCCCAGAGCCCCUUUAUUUAGAAACUGCAGAGCUUCCAGUGUUCCCCAAAGUCCCCAAAACAGGGAAUGGUUAUGCCCUGACUUACUCUUCAUCUCUCGGCUGACAUCUCUUUCCUGCAACCACGAAUCUUCUGUGAGGCAGUUGGCUUCCGAGACUGUCUAGGUUAACGCUAUUGGAGUCUUAUUAUGCAUCCAAAUCCAGUGAGUUUUAACUAGGAAAAAAACUAUGUCUCAUAAAAACCAUUUAUUUAGUGAGCCCACAAUUAUGUAAGGUACCGCAUCAUACUCUGGAGCUGUCUCUUAAAAGGUCCUUGGUUCGUUUUGAUACAACACUUAGGUUUAAGGAGCGGCAAAUAGUCUGUCAUUUAAUAACAACAGAAAUACGUCAAUAUAUUUUAACUGGAGACAUCUACUCUACUUAAGUAAGAAGACCCAAUCUGAGUUUUAACAGACCAGAGGUUUUUGCAAAAUAUAUGGAAUUCUCAAGAAACUCUGUAUCCAUCUGAUACUUUUAAAACUCAGUUUGCCAUACAGCAAUCCUUAAACGAUGGAACAGUGCAGAAAUCAAACAACAGGUGCUGCAACUGGAAAAGAAGGAAAAACAGGCACAGAAUCAUACCCCUUUAGAAGAGAUUAUCUAAUCCAGCGGUUCUCAAAAUGUGGUCCCCUGACCAGCUGCAUCAGCAUCACCUGGAAACUUGUAAGAAAUGCAGAUGAUGAGACUCGCCCCAGACCUACUGAGUCAGAAACUGCAGGGGGGGGGUCCAGCAAUCUGGGUUUUAACAAGCCCUCGGUGAUUCGCAUACACACUAAAGUCUGAGAACCACCGAUCAAUCCAGCCACUCAUUGAUGAGAAAGAAAUGAAGCCAGAAACUGCAAGUCUUAGAUCAAGUUAGUGACCAAGGUCACCAGAGAUAGUUCUCAAUAAACCUUCAAAAUAAUUCUUAAACAGUACACCUGAAUCCAAGCAGGCCCUCAGGAUUUCCCAGGCUGGAAACAUCUUGUUAUACUGCAGUAUUACUUCUUAAGUCACAGUUAGACAGACAGGCAGAUACAAAUUUUCUUGUUGUGAGUAAUUUACAUGUAGUACCGAAAAAAGACUUCACAUUAUUGACCUCCCCACAAAAGCAACAAGUCAGGGCUCACAGGCUUCUCUGUUUGUUUGGCUGGUUGGGUUAACUUCUGUUGCUGAUAGCAGUAGUGGGUUUUGUCUUGUUAUGGCUGUUUCGGUUUGGUUUUGCGGGCAACAGCAAGAAUUUACGGGACAUAGCUGACAGUCUGCUUUCGGUUUUGGGGGCUUUUCCCCCCUCCACCAAAGAGUUCACAUUAAAGGCUUUGAAAAGCAAUCAUAAAGGACUAAUAGGCCAAAAAUUGAUUAAAAAAACAAAGUAACCCUCCCCCCCCCAAAAAAAACUUCAGAUUUUAUCUUGGAAUGUAUCCUAUGACUUUUUUUUAAGUCAACAGAUUUUUAUUUUCUCUUGUAUAAAAUUAGUUUUCAUUUGUGGAACACAUAGUGGCAGAAUGAUAGGAAGCUAGACUGUGUCCCAGGAACGAGGACAGGCCUAGAAUCAAGCCACACACAACACCACGAAGUAGGUGCCUCUGACGCACAGCACGGAGGGUACACUAUGCAUCAUCUCCUACAAGGACAAGACCACAUACUCGGCUGCGUCAUCAACCCACCAAUGCAACAUCGACCACAUGAAACGACAUCUACAAUUUUCGGCCCUAGGGCUCUCGUUCUAAACAGAUGUUUGAUGUAUCUCGUACCUUUUUAUAUAAAUAUUUCAAAGUCUAGUAGUGGUUAUCUCCCCGACUACACAUCUGUUUCUAUUUACACUUUAAAUAUCCUCUUUGAGAAGUUUAUAACUUGGGUGUCAGGAUUACCACAGAUUGAGAUUUAGAGGUUUCAGAAAUAAACGUUUCCAUUCCUGUUUCUCAUACUGAAGCUGUUUUCUCAAUGUCAUGCCAGACUAGGGAUGUUUUCAACCCUGUUUUCCAACCCCACUAACAUGUUUAGUCACCUUUGACUUUACAAACCAAAUUUUCUAACUAAUACAGUUCAGCGUGUGAUUUUAUUUCUCGGAAGAACCAGGGAUGAGCACACAAGGCCACAGAAACAACUACUUCUUUCUGACUUACACUUCCAACUCUCUGUGGAUGACCUCUAUGACCAAAUUUUGUACCUUUAUUUUUCAAUUCGUCGUCAAAGAAGGGUAAUAAUCCCUGCUACAUACUUUACAGGAAAGAAAUGAGAGUCACUGAAUUAACAAUAAUGCUCUGGAGAGAUGGCCUUCCUUGGAAGGACUGUAAAUUCAGUGAAGUUACUGGUCCUCAGCCUCCUCUUCAGCUCCACAAUAUACCCUCUGAAGUUAAAUUAGAGGGGUUAAAAUUAUUUCAACAUUCUUUCAUUCAACAAACAUUUCUGAGCACUCGCCGGGCAUCAGGCAGUCUAUGAGGCACGAGGGAGACAACAGCCAGCAAGACAAACACAGCUCAUGCUCCUCACAAGACAUCUUAGAGAAGCGUUGACUGAACUUACGGGACUUCCAUUCAGUUUACACGCCAAGGGCUCAACUCCAUUUGAUUUGUAAAUAAUUAUUCAUAAUCAUAAUUACUCGUCAUCACUCCACUCUGCUCCUAAAAAAGGGAGACCACAUGAACUACAUGAAAAGCUCACAGAACACACAGACAAACGCUCUGUAAUAUGAAGGCCUCACAUAGGUCAAAAUAGCACCCAGUAAACACCUUAUAAUCUAUGAACCAGACACACAGUGUUAAGCCCCAGAAAAUGAACCAAGAUUUUCUUUUAAAGGCAGAAGACCUUGGCCUAAACAUUUACCUGUCAAAUACUAAACUUAAACAUAAUCAGUCCUCUCUAAUUGUGCUGUCCAGUACAGUAUCCACUAGCCAUUUGUGGCUAUUUCCAUUUAAAUCAAUUAGAAAUUCAGUUCCUAUGUCACACUAGUUACAUUUAAAGUACUCAACAGCCUCAAGUGACUAGUGGCUAUCACUUCUAAGUCAUUACAAACACCUCAUUAUAAAUCAUUUCUAUCAUCUCAGAAAGCUCUAAUGGGACAGUACAAAUAGCUCUGUAAUACCAAACCUGAAUAUUAUGGGGUAAUGAAAUGUGACGAAGAGUCUGUAUUCUGCCACUGCACACAGACGUAUGUCCAUCGGUAACGCAGCGCCAUUUCUUCCUUCCUAAAUAAGUUGAACGUGACAAUAUUAAGUAUCUCUUCCAGUGUGCAUGAGUAACCAAGAAAAUUCAUGCCACCCAACUGGUCAGUCAAGAACAAAAUUGGGACACAAGUGAAAAACUGAUUCCAUUUUGCCCUCUCCCUCCUACUCUUUUUACAAGAAUGUGUUGGUGGUAUUCUGCGUUCUCUGUGCAAGGAUGUGGGUUUUCAGCCUAGUAGCUAGUAGCAGAGGAGGUGAAGACAGUUAAGAACGAAGACGGGUGACACAGGCAAAUAUCAACACAAAUAAUGCAACUCAAAUUCAGUUCAGACCGACGCAAUGAACUUAAGAACCUACUGUGUGUCAGACACACACAGAUAAAUAAUCCCCAUUUCCAAUUUUGAUGAGCUCAGUUAGUAGGGGUGUCCAACGUGUCAACAAAAACAAUAUGACAGGUCGUGAUAAAUGCAGUGAGACAAACAUGCACAGGACACAGAGGUGACACAGGGAAGGGAUUUUUCAAUGUUUUCUGAGGAGAAAUCAGGGAAAAUUUCCUGAAGGAGGUACCCACGAGCAACCUAGGCAGAGCUGUGCAAAGGAAAUACGGGUGGUUUGGCAAUGCCGGAGAAAUGUGGCUUUGGUGGUCAAGAGGGACGCGGAUGACAAGGGAGGGAAGGAGACGGGGUUGGAGAGCUGUUUCCAUGCCAGACUGCCAACACUCAUGCUUACGUCAGGCUUGCCCUGGUGGGUCUACAAACUUUGCUCACCCAAACUGCAAGCACCGUAAAACCAAUCCUUAAAUUUCCCAAGUAACAUGCCUAUGUCUGCCACACAGCUAACACUAUUAGACAGCAACCAUUAGUAGGAAUACAAAGACAUUUCUUUGUGACACAGUAUCAUCUAAUAAUACGUAUUGGUUGCAAAAACACGGUAAUAGGAGCCCUUUGUUUUCAGGGAAAGACCUGUUUCCUGUGAGUUUUAUUUGGAAUAUCUUUAGAGAAUAUAUCAAUAAACACAUGUUCAGAACAGAUGAGUUACCCUCACAUCUAAAUAGUCCCUGUAAGAGUUCAUCUGACCAGGACACAAAUGAAAUAAAGCAAAGGGAGAAGAGGAAUGUAGAAGCAGAACUUCUGUACUCUACACCAGAGUAAUAGUUAUUUUGCUCCCAAAUGUUCACGGCAAAGCUUCUGCUCCUCUGUAGACUGCCCCCCACUUUGGGCUACACCCAGCCUAUGACCACAAGAUUGUAUCGUGCCAGCAACGGAAAGGACUUCUGCGGCUGCGUAUGCAAAUCCUUGGAAAAUACCUGAAUCUUCUCGACUCUUCCCUUCACUUUGCACAUGUUUACGUCUAAAAACAAAACAAAAAACUCCCAUGGAAUGUGUUCUUUUCAAAUUACUGGGGUCCCCUCUCUUCUCUUCACUAUAAACUUCCUGAAAACGUUAGUAGCCUACAUACCUUAACAAAUUCACCAAGUGAUUCUCCCCGCUUUAGUACAAGCACAACUUUCCAGAUGAAAAUACAUAAAUACAUAGGUAAAUACUGUAUACAGACUCGCUGGCCUGCAGGCAAACAUAUAACUAUUGCUAUUCACGCAAACAUGUGGCCCUUAGGUAAAGACCUAUUUCCAAGACAGCAUGGCUGAAAGCACGGGUUCUGGAGUCAGCCUCCCCGAGUACUAGUCAGAGAUCGUCACUGACCAAUUCUUUCUUACCUCCUAAGCCUCAAUUUCCCCAAUUGUAAAAUGACGAUCAAUACGUGUUAGCUAUUUUUACUAUUUCGUCUCUAAAGAUGGGUGGUUUCACAACUAUCUAUUCCAUCAAGCUGGUUACUUCGAUAAGUUCUGACCCCCUCCCUGUGCAUCAGAAAUACUCAGGGAGGUCUUUUUUCUAAUGCACCAUGUCCAGGCCCGGGGUAGAUUGGGGUUCCACUGGUCUGGAACGGGGCCGGGCAUCGGAGUUCUUUCUGAAGCUAUUCAGUUGCUUGUAUGUAUAAACAGGAUUAAGAACCACGCGUAGUUCUCUGCCAGCCAAAGAGAGCGCCGCGCCGGUGAGGUCUGAGAGACCUCCGACCGAAUCAGCGCAGGCCGGCCCGGACGCAGGAGGCUCGCCCAGACGCUGUGACCACGGACUCCAAGCGCGGGGAUUUACACCCACGUCCGAGCCCUGCUCACCGGCAUCACCUCCCUUGGACCCCGCCGGACGCGCCUUGACACCGGCGCGCCCGGGAUCGUCUGGGGCACACGCCCCCUCGCCCCUCUCCCCCGGCCCCCGCGGGCGCCGGGCCCUCCG
Molecule: long non-coding RNA, 24738 nt
Organism: Equus caballus (horse)
Lineage: Eukaryota; Metazoa; Chordata; Mammalia; Perissodactyla; Equidae
Source: Ensembl